RNAcentral lists this long non-coding RNA (2682 nucleotides) under Bemisia tabaci. RNAcentral's name for it is "lncRNA ENSSSA1NGG012550". The record is from RNAcentral. Lineage: Eukaryota; Metazoa; Arthropoda; Insecta; Hemiptera; Aleyrodidae.
GUGCAAAAGUAACAGUAGUAUGUAUUCAGUAGGUGUAACGAAGUAGUGCCCAGUAUUUCAAAAAAUUAUCAAUGGACAACGAUAGCCUAAAAUCAUCCGGCAUAUCUCUCGGCAGCAGCAGUAGUUUAAUCCAAGCUUCUCUUCACUAUCCAGCACUCCAAGCGGAAUCGGUUAUUCAAAUUUAUCCGGCUCUGUCUUGAGCAGUGAUCUACAAAGCCCACCUAUCGCGCAACCCUUCUCCUCUUACGUUGGAAACAACUUGAUCAGCGACUCAAACCAAAUUGGAAAUCAGUCAAUACUCAGCAGCAAUUCAAGCAUUCUGAGUCCAGGUUUAUUGACGGAUUCUGCAACAAAUAAUGUGAUUUUAUCUAGUCCCGGUGACCUUGUGACCCCUAUCAGUCUAGCAGAGCUGAAUGAUGGUCGCAACAAAGCCUUUAGUCUCAACCAAUCUUUAAGUGCACUUCUUUCUGUUACUUCUACUAAGAAAGAUGAACCAAGAAUCAAGCAGUACUCUAAAGAUGCCCUUGAAGCCCUCCGAUCGUCGAACAUCUCUUCAGAACCACCGCAGAACUGGGAGAGAAUUGCAGAGGAGUUCCCAUCGAUCGUUAAAACGAGAGGCACCGUCUCCUUACCGACGACACCCACCGCCGGUAACUUCUCACCCAGCGGUCUCUUCGCUUGCGCAUCCGUGCCCACCACACCCCCGGCAUACAACACAGCCAGUGCACCGACCGGACCCGUCCCGCUGCCAGUCACUCGUCCAGCGGUCACGACGACUGAUCCUCCGCAACCACGUCCUCCACACACGGUCAGUCCAGCCUCUGCGAGUCCACCCGUGCCGCAUCCAGCACGUGCAGCGCCCGAAGUCACCUCAGGAGUGGUCACUGCCGAUGUCUCUCCAUCAAUAUCAACCUCAGUGUCAACUGACAGUGUAUUGACCGCAUCCAAUAGGACACGUGAAUCUGCCGCCCCUCCGGCGAUUUCAACCACAGUAACGAACGAGUCAACUGACAGUGUAUUAACCGCAUCCAAUAGGACACGUGAAUCUUCAGUGACUCCAUCAAUUCGGGCUCCAGCCUCGAGAGGGCCGAAUGACGGUGUAACAACUUCAUCCGAUAGAACACGUGAAUCUGCCGCCCCUCCGGCAAUCUCAACCACAGUUACGAACGAGCCAACUGACAGUGCAUUGACCGCAUCCAAUAGGACACGUGAAUCUUUGGUGGCUCAAUCAGUUCGGGCUACAGCCUCGAGAGGGCCCACUGACGGUGUAUCAAGCACAUCCGACAGAACACGCGAAGUGGCAGUCCCUCCGGCAAUUUCAACCACAGCCACGAACGAGUCAACUGACAGUGCAUUGACCGCAUCCAAUAGGACACGUGAAUCUGCGGUAACUCCAGCAAAUACAACCUCGGCUGUAAAAGGAUCGAAUCCCAGUGUCAUAACUGAAUUUGAUAGGGCACGCGAAUCUUCAGCUACUUUGACCUCACCGAAGAAAGUGUCAACCGAUGAUGUCUCCGCAAGAACACGGGAAUCUACAAGUACUCCAGCAAUUUCAACCUCAGCCGUGAAAUUGUCAACUACCGGCGUGUCGACCGCACCCGCUAGGACACUUGAGUCUACGCAGGCUCCGAUUCUCGGAGGGAUAGCUCCAAGUAAACCUGUCACACUCUCAGUAUCUCCUGAAUUGGGUUCCGCCUCUAAUCCACCUUCUACCAUCGCUAAUGUAUCAAACUUACCUGUAACACACAGUUCUUCUGUCACACAACUUGUGUCACAUGGUUCCAGCGCUGAGCGCCGACCAUGGCACCCGCUCCUGAAUCUGGUGACCCUAGGGUGCCCUCCACAACUGUUUCCGGGAUGGUAUCCUCGUCAAGCCCUGCUGCAGCUUCAUCAGUGUCUCUUAUAACCAAAGCACGGGAUGUCGUUACUUCGACGGCUGCGAGUGCAAAGGAUCCUGGCACCGUAAGGAAGUCUGAAACAGAUUCUGUCACAACUUCACCCACAGGCGUGAAAGGUAAUCCUUCGGGCGAGACUGAGAAAACCAUGAGCGGAUCCAAAACGCCAAAGUAAUUUUUGUAUCGUCUUCCCAAGUAGCAUCUUUAACGGGAAAAUCGCGAUGUUUUAAAAUUAAGUUGCGAUUUUUUCACGAUUUUCUGGCGAUAAAACAGCUGGGAUCAUCAACAUCUGACCGAUUAUGUCGCAAUUUUAUCCCUAUAAAAUCGGACUUUAUCACGAUUUUUAGUUCGAUAAUAUUGCGACGUCAAUAAAAUCGCAAAAUUAUUGCAAAUUUUUGCGAUGAAAUAGCAAUUUAUUGCAAUUUUCAUCCGAUAAUAUUGCAAUAAAUUGACGUCGAUACAAUCGCUAUACAUUCUCCGAUCAAAUCGCACCUUAUCAUGAUCACUGCUACUUGGGCCUUAGCUUAAACUGAUCGAUCUCUGAUUACAAUUCGAUUGAUUGCAGUUAUUUUAAUCUUCACUCACCUCUACUCGUAGACCAUUAUUUCCGCUUAGUGAUCAGCACGCGAUCCUGCCUCUCUUCAAGCCCAAUUUAAUUUUUCCUUUAAAUACUCGUUUUCAUCCAGAAUUGAAGGAUUAUCUAUUUUCCUUCGUAUUCAUAUUUUGUACUUUUAUGAUAUUUAAUAGUCACUUACUCAUCAUAUUAAAUUCAAUGUUUUAUUCUCUA